RNAcentral lists this ribosomal RNA (568 nucleotides) under uncultured fungus. RNAcentral describes it as "eukaryotic LSU rRNA". The stretch from base 233 to 386 matches the Rfam family "5.8S ribosomal RNA". Lineage: Eukaryota; Fungi. The record is from RNAcentral.
AGGAAGUAAAAGUCGUAACAAGGUCUCCGUUGGUGAACCAGCGGAGGGAUCAUUAAUGAGGUCAAAACCCUCUCCAAACCACUGUGAACCUACUAUAUUUCGUUGUUUCGGUAGGCGGCCCCUGGGGGGGUCCUAGGCCUUUAGGCGCCUACCGGGCGGCACUUCAAAAAAACCUUACAAUUCUUGCUUUCAGCGUAUACCAGCCUGUCUUAAGGGCGUUAUAAUCAAUAAAAACUUUCAACAACGGAUCUCUUGGUUCUGGCAGCGAUGAAGAACGCAGCGAAAUGCGAUAAGUAAUGUGAAUUGCAGAAUUCCGUGAAUCAUCGAAUCUUUGAACGCACAUUGCGCCCACUAGCACUCUAGUGGGUAUGCCUGUUCGAGCGUCAUUACGACCCUCAGGCCGUUCCCGAAAGGGCAAUAGGCCUGGAGUUGGGGCGCUACAGCGUCUCGCAGGCGCUGUAGGUUCCGAAUUUCAGUGGCGGGCUCGUUGGAACCUCAGCGUAGUAGAUUCUAUCGCUCGGGGCGUUCCGGCGGGCGUCCGGCCGUAAAACUCCUAAACCUAACAAGG